RNAcentral lists this ribosomal RNA (113 nucleotides) under Pteropus alecto (black flying fox). RNAcentral also lists the same sequence under 1 other name. Lineage: Eukaryota; Metazoa; Chordata; Mammalia; Chiroptera; Pteropodidae. The record is from RNAcentral.
CUCUAUAAUAGAAAUGAGAAAUACGAUCUCAUCUGAUCUCAGAAGCUAAGCAGGGUCGGGCCUGGUUAAUACUUGGAUGGGAGACCACCUAGGAAGACCAGGUGCUGUAGGCA